AACUACACGGAUAUAAUACAGCAACUGAAAAAAUAAAAGAAAAAACUUCAAAUACCAUCCUGUGGUUUCACAUUUUUUUACUGUGGUUUAAAGUGUAUCAAUUUAGUACCCUGUGGUUUUAUUUUUCUCUUUUUAUUAUUUGAUCCACUAAUUUUUUUUCGUUAAAUCAAUUACAAAGUUAAAACUAAAAGAUACUAAAGUGAAUAUUCGAUAAACUUAAGUGGGUAUCUGAAGUUUUUUAUAUAUAAUGUAACGAAAUAUUAACGGAGAAGUUGACGAAAAGAAAAAAAAUAAAACCACAGUGUAUUAACUUGAUACACUUUAAACCACAGGGUACUUAAGUGAGAAAGUGCGAAACCACAUAGAUGAUAUUUGAAGUUUACCCAAAAAAAAAGAACUAGUUUUUUAUAAAAAAAAAUUUCUCAAGAUUCUUUUUUCUUCCUUUUCCGACGAACCAAACACUCCCAAAACUUCUAUGAGGAGCUCUCAAAUG
This 493-nucleotide long non-coding RNA is filed under the name Ananas comosus (pineapple). RNAcentral's name for it is "long non-coding RNA (ACOM_LNC002477)". The record is from RNAcentral. Lineage: Eukaryota; Viridiplantae; Streptophyta; Magnoliopsida; Poales; Bromeliaceae.